RNAcentral lists this ribosomal RNA (800 nucleotides) under Seiridium vernicola. RNAcentral describes it as "partial large subunit ribosomal RNA". It matches the Rfam family "Eukaryotic large subunit ribosomal RNA", at positions 91 to 918 of the family's 3401-position model. Lineage: Eukaryota; Fungi; Ascomycota; Sordariomycetes; Amphisphaeriales; Sporocadaceae. The record is from RNAcentral.
GAGUGAAGCGGCAACAGCUCAAAUUUGAAAUCUGGCCCUUGGGUCCGAAUUGUAAUUUGUAGAGGAUGAUUUUGGUGCGGUAUCUUCCGAGUUCCUUGGAACAGGACGCCUUAGAGGGUGAGAGCCCCGUACGGUUGAAUGCCUAGCCUCUGUAAAUCUCCUUCGACGAGUCGAGUAGUUUGGGAAUGCUGCUCUAAAUGGGAGGUAAAUUUCUUCUAAAGCUAAAUACUGGCCAGAGACCGAUAGCGCACAAGUAGAGUGAUCGAAAGAUGAAAAGCACUUUGAAAAGAGGGUUAAAUAGCACGUGAAAUUGUUGAAAGGGAAGGAUUUAUGACCAGACUUUUUCUGGGCGGAUCAUCCGGUGUUCUCACCGGUGCACUUUGCCCAGUUUAGGCCAGCAUCGAUUUUCGGAGAGGGAUAAAAGCUUUAGGAAUGUGGCUCCCCCGGGAGUGUUAUAGCCUAUUGUAUAAUACCUUUCUGGGGAUCGAGGUACGCGCUUCUGCAAGGAUGCUGGCGUAAUGGUUAUCAAUCACCCGUCUUGAAACACGGACCAAGGAGUCGAACAUUUGUGCGAGUGUUUGGGUGUUAAACCCUCACGCGUAAUGAAAGUGAACGGAGGUGAGAGCCCUUACGGGUGCAUCAUCGACCGAUCCUGAAGUUUUCGGAUGGAUUUGAGUAAAAGCAUAACUGUUCGGACCCGAAAGAUGGUGAACUAUGCGUGGAUAGGGUGAAGCCAGAGGAAACUCUGGUGGAGGCUCGCAGCGGUUCUGACGUGCAAAUCGAUCGUCAAAUCUGCGCAU